Molecule: long non-coding RNA, 480 nt
Organism: Trachemys scripta elegans
Lineage: Eukaryota; Metazoa; Chordata; Testudines; Emydidae
Exons: 3
Source: RefSeq, a predicted model, not a curated record
GCCAGGAUAAACACUCCGUUACUCUCCCUCUAAACUGCUCUUCUGGGAGGGAGAGAAAAUAAAUAGAGAGAGAGAGAGAGAGAGGCAUUUGAAGUAACCUUUUUAAGGAGAAGGCAGCAACCAAUAGAACCUUUUCUUAUUUUUUUCCACUUCUUACUAGAGAAAUUCGUGUUAUCUCAGCAAUUAAGGAGAAGAGCCAGCAUCUAGGGUUCCAGGCUGUGAGGGGAAGUAGCAACUUGUACCAGAUCUGGAUGGAGUGUUUCUUCAUCUGCAUGAUGCUGUCUAGGACUACAGCUCUGUGACACUCCUCAGCUGUGCUAGCAGAAGAGGCAGAGAGGCUUCCAAGAAGCUCUGAAAAGGAGAAAAGUCUGGAGCUUCUAAUUAGAAAUCAAAAUGUUUUGAGCAUCAUGCAUUCACACUGCCUCCUAGAGCUUAUGUGACUUGAGAGCUAAAGAACACAGCCCUGCAAGCUAUAGUAUA